AUUAAUACCCCAUAAUAUAUAUCUUAGGCAUCUUUGAUAUAUUAAAGCUCCGGCGGUUAGAGAUGGGCAUGCGGGACAUUAGCUUGUUGGUAAGGUAACGGCUUACCAAGGCUGCGAUGUCUAGGGGGUCUGAGAGGACUAUCCCCCACACUGGUACUGAGACACGGACCAGACUCCUACGGGAGGCAGCAGUGAGGAAUAUUGCGCAAUGGAGGAAACUCUGACGCAGCCAUGCCGCGUGCAGGAAUAAGGCCCUAUGGGUUGUAAACUGCUUUUAUACGGGAAGAAAUAUAUCUACGUGUAGAUAUUUGACGGUACCGUACGAAUAAGGAUCGGCUAACUCCGUGCCAGCAGCCGCGGUAAUACGGAGGAUCCAAGCGUUAUCCGGAUUUAUUGGGUUUAAAGGGUCCGCAGGCGGGAAAUUAAGUCAGUGGUGAAAUCCUACAGCUUAACUGUAGAACUGCCAUUGAUACUGGUUUUCUUGAGUACACCUGAAGUGGGCGGAAUGUGUCAUGUAGCGGUGAAAUGCUUAGAUAUGACACAGAACACCGAUUGCGAAGGCAGCUCACUAAAGUGUCACUGACGCUGAGGGACGAAAGCGUGGGGUAGCGAACAGGAUUAGAUACCCUGGUAGUCCACGCCCGUAAACGAUGAUCACUAGAUGUUGGCGAUAUACUGUCAGUAUCUGAGCGAAAAGUAUUAAGUGAUCCACCUGGGGAGUACGGUCGCAAGAUUGAAAC
Molecule: ribosomal RNA, 740 nt
Filed under: uncultured Flavobacteriales bacterium
Lineage: Bacteria; Pseudomonadati; Bacteroidota; Flavobacteriia; Flavobacteriales
Description: bacterial SSU rRNA
Rfam family: Bacterial small subunit ribosomal RNA
Source: RNAcentral